GUAGAUGUGUAUUGAGAGAGGGCCUGUAUGGAGGAGGGUUCCUGGUGCUUCUCCACCCAUUGGGAUUGCCCAAGGUGAAGACCUCGCAGCAACAAUCUUGGUCUUCAAGACCAUCGCGAUUAAAAAUUCUGAACACUUUGAACUCCCUGGUAGAAUCCGUGUAACCAAAUCCAAUGCAUAGGUCAAAUUCUUGGUCGGGUCGUUCU
RNAcentral lists this unclassified non-coding RNA (206 nucleotides) under Hevea brasiliensis (rubber tree). The record is from RNAcentral. Lineage: Eukaryota; Viridiplantae; Streptophyta; Magnoliopsida; Malpighiales; Euphorbiaceae.